Molecule: long non-coding RNA, 501 nt
Organism: Haliotis rufescens (red abalone)
Lineage: Eukaryota; Metazoa; Mollusca; Gastropoda; Lepetellida; Haliotidae
Exons: 3
Source: RefSeq, a predicted model, not a curated record
CUCGCAUAAAGCACUGCGAUGUGGAGGAAUGUCCGUACACUGAUGGCCAGACAUGUUCCAGAUGUACAGGUGUUGUACAGGAAGCUCCAGGUUUACGGGCAUACAUCGCCUCGAGUGAUUCUCGAGCUUGUCUUCAGACGUGUUCCUGGAGGUUAAACAGCACAUGGUGUUAUCCAGGAACCUGUGAAGCCGAGCUGGCAGACAACUGCAAGUGCUCCACUGGAUUCGGUGGUCUCAACUGCCAGACAGUUGAGGAGCGGCCUGUGUUGCUGUGGAACCGCCUGUCAGUGUCAGACAGUGGGUUGGAGACGGCCGAGGCACCUCUGGACCCCAACAUCGUCACAACACAAGAAGCGUCAUGGACGAAUCUUAAAGAUAUAACAAAACUCACAUAUGACUUCAAAACCAAGUUUAUUCAGUCAGGGGUUGUUCCAGAGAGACCUGGAUUCAUUGAAGACUAUAGCGUCGGUAUCGUCAAAGUUGACAUUCAGUAUAGCGUAG